Onychostoma macrolepis is the source of this 626-nucleotide long non-coding RNA. RefSeq lists it as uncharacterized. Lineage: Eukaryota; Metazoa; Chordata; Actinopteri; Cypriniformes; Cyprinidae. The transcript has 3 exons. The record is from RefSeq and is a predicted model, not a curated record.
ACUGAAACGGAUGAGGAGAGGGAGGAGUUUUUUGAGGAUAUGUUAGUAGAGUAUUUAAGCGAGAGGAAGCAGAGCCCGGUCCUUUCUAUCCUGCAGACUCUCUUGUCUGAGAUGGAGCGGAGAUGGUCUGCUUGUAUGCUGUGAUCUAGUGUGCAGUCUGCUGCCACUAGAUGACUGCACACGAGUUAAGACGUCACGCUGCCUAAGGAUCUCUUUUGAUGCUUGCAUUUAUUAUUUUAUUUUGAGGAGGAGAGGAGGAGAACCCAACUGCCAAGGGAUUCGGGCACUCGGGUCCGCUGCCCUGUUCUAGUGCAUUCUCUGGCAACACUGGAUCUCUGGCCAGGGUCCAGUGGACCUGAAGUGAACAGCGCCAGGUCUAUGACCCGCUGACGAAGCACCAGAAAACUAGAAGCAACCAAACCACACAAAAAUGAAAACUGAAGCCGACUACUACCCUUAACCCCCUUUUUCCCCCUUUGGUCGGCUUCUGGUUGUCUGUUGCUUGGUUGGCAGGCUGUGGGGAUGGCCUGCUGCAAAAACAACCAUUUUUUAAAUUUUAUUUUAUGAAGGCUGAGCGCAACUCUUUCCAGAAAAAUCAAUAAAAAUGGAAAAACCUGAAACUGAAA